UGAUACCCUGGUAGUCCACGCUGUAAACGAUGUCGACUUGGAGGUUGUUCCCUUGAGGAGUGGCUUCCGGAGCUAACGCGUUAAGUCGACCGCCUGGGGAGUACGGCCGCAAGGUUAAAACUCAAAUGAAUUGACGGGGGCCCGCACAAGCGGUGGAGCAUGUGGUUUAAUUCGAUGCAACGCGAAGAACCUUACCUACUCUUGACAUCCAGAGAACUUAGCAGAGAUGCUUUGGUGCCUUCGGGAACUCUGAGACAGGUGCUGCAUGGCUGUCGUCAGCUCGUGUUGUGAAAUGUUGGGUUAAGUCCCGCAACGAGCGCAACCCUUAUCCUUUGUUGCCAGCGGUUCGGCCGGGAACUCAAAGGAGACUGCCAGUGAUAAACUGGAGGAAGGUGGGGAUGACGUCAAGUCAUCAUGGCCCUUACGAGUAGGGCUACACACGUGCUACAAUGGCAUAUACAAAGAGAAGCGACCUCGCGAGAGCAAGCGGACCUCAUAAAGUAUGUCGUAGUCCGGAUUGGAGUCUGCAACUCGACUCCAUGAAGUCGGAAUCGCUAGUAAUCGUGGAUCAGAAUGCCACGGUGAAUACGUUCCCGGGCCUUGUACACACCGCCCGUCACACCAUGGGAGUGGGUUGCAAAAGAAGUAGGUAGCUUAAC
This 659-nucleotide ribosomal RNA is filed under the name bacterium LB-105. RNAcentral's name for it is "bacterial SSU rRNA". It matches the Rfam family "Bacterial small subunit ribosomal RNA", at positions 780 to 1439 of the family's 1533-position model. The record is from RNAcentral.